GGAUUGUGUGAAGGAGGAAAGGUGAGCAGUCCCCUUAAUUAGGAAGGAAGUGGUCAGUAUAGCUGAUAAGACAUGUGUACCGUAAAGUAGGGCUCCUACCUUGUGGCAUCUUUUUUU
RNAcentral lists this non-coding RNA (117 nucleotides) under Carlito syrichta (Philippine tarsier). The record is from RNAcentral. Lineage: Eukaryota; Metazoa; Chordata; Mammalia; Primates; Tarsiidae.